This 80-nucleotide transfer RNA is filed under the name Magnetococcales bacterium. Its description in RNAcentral is "tRNA-Val". The record is from RNAcentral. Lineage: Bacteria; Pseudomonadati; Pseudomonadota; Magnetococcia; Magnetococcales.
GGGUUUACACAGAUUUCAAAAAAUGGUACUCUGCCUUCACACGGCAGGGGUCACAGGUUCAAAUCCUGUACCGCCCACCA